AACCGCUGUAUGCGGAACCGUAUGUACGGUGGUGUGGAGAGCCGUGAGGCUCCCCUAUCCCAAU
This 64-nucleotide unclassified non-coding RNA is filed under the name Bradyrhizobium sp. Ghvi. Lineage: Bacteria; Pseudomonadati; Pseudomonadota; Alphaproteobacteria; Hyphomicrobiales; Nitrobacteraceae. The record is from RNAcentral.